AUAUCUCUCUGUACGGGAAGGAUGAGAAGCUUCGACUAAGGUUCGAUUCGAGCGCAGCGAGAAAGCGUUGCCGCAGGCAACGACCCGAAGGGCGAAGCGCG
This 101-nucleotide small RNA is filed under the name Salmonella enterica subsp. enterica serovar Muenchen. Its description in RNAcentral is "partial RtT sRNA". It matches the Rfam family "RtT RNA", at positions 1 to 100 of the family's 130-position model. Rfam says of the family: This family represents a bacterial cis-regulatory element known as RtT RNA. The exact function of RtT is unknown although it is thought that it may be involved in changing the cellular response in relation to amino acid starvation. The record is from RNAcentral. RNAcentral also lists the same sequence under 7 other names. Lineage: Bacteria; Pseudomonadati; Pseudomonadota; Gammaproteobacteria; Enterobacterales; Enterobacteriaceae.